Molecule: long non-coding RNA, 1898 nt
Organism: Hylaeus anthracinus
Lineage: Eukaryota; Metazoa; Arthropoda; Insecta; Hymenoptera; Colletidae
Exons: 3
Source: RefSeq, a predicted model, not a curated record
UGUCAACAAUUAGACGCUGAAAAGGUGCCCCUGGUAGAAGGCAACCGGAGAUACAGUUCGACUGGCCGAUUGCCAGCUAUCAGGCCCAGGUAGGCACCUGGUAAGCGGCAACCGGAGCUACAAGUUGUCGGCGAGUUGGCACGUAUUAGGUGCAGAGAAGGUGCCCCUGGUAGAAGGCAACCGUUGCUACAAUUUGACUGGCGGGUUGCCAUCUAUCAGGCGCAAGAGGUGUCCCUGGUAAGAGGCAACCGGAACUACUUAUGGGCCUACGGAACAUUCGUUUUGUUUAUUCUAUUAAUUAUUUAUUUCCCUUCCGGCAACAAAAGCGAAAAUUAAUAUUGCCAUUUUAUUCGAACGUAUAACAGUCUGUUUCUAAUAAAAGUAUAUAUUUAUAAAUAAGGGUGAAAAGGAUAUUAAGAACAUCUCGCAGUCGCUGAAACGUGUUAUUUAAUUGAGGUACGAUAAUGUUUACGAAACGAGUCUUCCAAUGAUGUCUUCCAGAACAAUAAUACUAAUUAACGUAACGCGAUCUAUUGAUCGACGAAAAUCUUUGUCAAUAAUAUUAAACGUUAUACAUAUACAUAAAUAUAUAUAUACAUAUAUAUUGAGAGUUAUAGGGGUUAAGCGUUAAUUGUUAAGGCUAUGAUCAAAUUUAACGUGUAAGUAAAAUCGUCGCUAAUCAUCGUUUCAACCAGUUUAUCUUUUGUCGUGGAAAUCGUUUCCUUCUUGGAUAACAUCAAGGUAGACGAAUGAUUACAUGUAACGUAAUAUUGCCUUGUCAUUUAUAAAAGAUCGACAUCACGUACAACAAUAAUCGUUUAUUCGAGACGUACAAUUCGAAUUUUAAUUCCAAUCGUCGACCAAAGGAACAAGCGAUGGACAAAGUCAGACACACUUGCGCGUGUAUAGAAUCCAAACUGCAAUAAUAUCGGAGAAAAGAAAUAACACAGAGUGUCUGGCCGAAGUUCUGUAUAGUCUUUAGACACUCGCAAACUUUGUUUUUGAAUUCGUGUCGUCGGUAGCUGAUAAUUGUAUAAAAAUGUGUGAGAGGGGUAAUUACCGUCACCGUUACAUAAAUCACGUUCAUUUACGCGAUUUUUUCAUUGUUCAGAAACACGUCUGUCUCGAAGGAGAGAUCACGUGGCUCUCGUGACGGUUCGAGAAAAAAAAAAGAAACCUCAUUAAUGUGUCGUAGUUGAAUAUGCAUCGUAUAGGCGUUACAGAACGAUGUAAAAUGGGCUUCCAAAUAUACAUACAUAUAUGUAUAUAUAAAUAUAUAUAUAAAUUAUGAAAGACGAAAAUACAUUAUCAAAAUUUUACGAGAUGUUCUUGUUACUUAUUUUAAUUACAAUUAGACGCGGAGAAGGUGCCCCUGAUAGAGGGCAACCAAAGCUACAGUUCGACUGGCGGGUUGCCAGCUAUCAGGCGCAGAUAGUUUUCACUGCCACUUUUUAGUGACUUUCUCCGUACAAGAAUGUAUCUAAAAACCGCGAGAUCGAUAGUUCGGUUAUGCUCUAAAUACUAUUCAUCGCUACAUAAAGGGUUCCUUCUGUUAGAGAACGUCAUUGUAUACAGAUCGAUCGCGAUGGAGUUACUGAUGGUCGCACGUUUAAUAUACUUCCUCGCUUUGAUGAUCGUUGCGAACGCCGAACGCGAUACAAUGAAAAAACUGCAAGACGAAAUUACACAAAAUGGCGAAAUACCUCGCGUGAAGAUACAAGUGUUUCGAAACCCUAGCGAAGAAUCGAACGGCACGCAAUUUACUGUUUGGGGGUUUUGGAUAAAGCAACCGGCAGAAGUGGAUUUAUCGCGUUAAAACAUUAUAUGUAGUUAACUGUAACUAAACAGGGUGUCCCAAAAAUGUUGUAACACCUUGAAAGGAAUGAUUCAGGAGGUGA